This 202-nucleotide small RNA is filed under the name Stutzerimonas frequens. Its description in RNAcentral is "Proteobacterial sRNA Xoo8". The record is from RNAcentral. Lineage: Bacteria; Pseudomonadati; Pseudomonadota; Gammaproteobacteria; Pseudomonadales; Pseudomonadaceae.
GUCAGGCCGAUUGAUUGAAGUUAUCAGGAGUAUUGUUGUGAUUGGUGUUCAGCAAACUUGGCAUCUGCUAUUAUCGCCGCCAAUUGUUGAAAACUAUUCGCAACUAGUGCUACAGCGAAGCAAAAGGCCAUGAUCAGACAACGCACCCUGAAGAACAUCAUUCGCGCCACCGGCGUCGGCUUGCAUUCGGGAGAGAAGGUUU